This 176-nucleotide non-coding RNA is filed under the name unclassified sequences. RNAcentral's name for it is "malK-I RNA". It matches the Rfam family "malK-I RNA". The record is from RNAcentral.
UCCAAUGGGGCGGCGCCACUCCACAUAAUGGCCCCGUUCACAUUCAAGAAGGAGGAAGUCAUCCCGCAGGCCCGCGGUGCGGCAGUGUGGAGACCUGUCGUAAUGCGGUUCGCUUUCAGGAAGCGACGCGAGAUCGCCCAUGCGGAGGCAGGGCGAUCAGGGCAUACGCUAUGUCU